AAUGCACCAAUUUGUAAGUCGCUCUGGAUAAGAGCGCCUGCUAAAUUACGUAAA
Molecule: non-coding RNA, 54 nt
Organism: Salmo salar (Atlantic salmon)
Lineage: Eukaryota; Metazoa; Chordata; Actinopteri; Salmoniformes; Salmonidae
Source: Rfam